GACGAACGCUGGCGGCGUGCUUAACACAUGCAAGUCGAACGGAAAGGCCCUGCUUUUGUGGGGUGCUCGAGUGGCGAACGGGUGAGUAACACGUGAGUAACCUGCCCUUGACUUUGGGAUAACUUCAGGAAACUGGGGCUAAUACCGGAUAGGAGCUCCUGCUGCAUGGUGGGGGUUGGAAAGUUUCGGCGGUUGGGGAUGGACUCGCGGCUUAUCAGCUUGUUGGUGGGGCAGUGGCUUACCAAGGCUUUGACGGGUAGCCGGCCUGAGAGGGUGACCGGCCACAUUGGGACUGAGAUACGGCCCAGACUCCUACGGGAGGCAGCAGUGGGGAAUAUUGCACAAUGGGCGGAAGCCUGAUGCAGCAACGCCGCGUGCGGGAUGAAGGCCUUCGGGUUGUAAACCGCUUUCGCCUGUGACGAAGCGUGAGUGACGGUAAUGGGUAAAGAAGCACCGGCUAACUACGUG
This 468-nucleotide ribosomal RNA is filed under the name uncultured bacterium. RNAcentral's name for it is "partial 16S ribosomal RNA". It matches the Rfam family "Bacterial small subunit ribosomal RNA", at positions 28 to 507 of the family's 1533-position model. The record is from RNAcentral.